GGAAGGGUGGCAGAGUGGUCGAUUGCACCGGUCUUGAAAACCGGCGAUGUGAGAGCAUCCGUGGGUUCGAAUCCCACCCCUUCCGCCA
RNAcentral lists this transfer RNA (88 nucleotides) under Pseudooceanicola sp. RNAcentral describes it as "tRNA-Ser". It matches the Rfam family "tRNA". Rfam says of the family: Transfer RNA (tRNA) molecules are approximately 80 nucleotides in length. Their secondary structure includes four short double-helical elements and three loops (D, anti-codon, and T loops). Lineage: Bacteria; Pseudomonadati; Pseudomonadota; Alphaproteobacteria; Rhodobacterales; Paracoccaceae. The record is from RNAcentral. RNAcentral also lists the same sequence under 2 other names.